Micropterus dolomieu (smallmouth bass) is the source of this 4135-nucleotide long non-coding RNA. RefSeq lists it as uncharacterized. Lineage: Eukaryota; Metazoa; Chordata; Actinopteri; Centrarchiformes; Centrarchidae. The transcript is spliced from 3 exons. The record is from RefSeq and is a predicted model, not a curated record.
UGCAAACAAACUGCUCCAGGGAUCGUUUUGGCAGCAGCUCUCAUUGAUGCAUUCAUCAUAAGCUUUUAUGGCACUGGAUAUUUGCACAACCUUAACUCCCUGACCCAAUUAUGCAAUUAUGCGGCGUAAAAACACUUCGGAUUUGGUCCAAACGUUUUGCUCAGCACUUUCAUCUGGCCCGGUAUGGAAAUCAUGGCUACCAACAAACAAUAUCAUAUCAUCGCCAAAGAGGGGAAUUACUUAUUAUCGCAUUUAACCUGCUUUUAGCGGGCGACAUUAAUCAAUGUCCGGGCUCAUUGUCCAGCCCUAAACUUGAAGCAAAAUCCUACGAUCUUCAAAUCCAUCACGGUGAGCAACUACCCUGCUAUCCAGGUACAUACAAACAUCAUCAAUACUGCAAAUCCGGAAUCUGAUUACCCACCUAAAUUAACUGUCUGCUCUUCGAGCGGCUUGGAGUCCAUAACGCCGCAGACGGCGCUAAACUGAGACCCGGGGGCCAGCCUGACCGGAUGACCACUGCGAUGGAGGGUGAGAGAGAGUCGGCAACACCUGGACAGCUAAGCUGACUUUUGAGGGAAAACAACAGCGAUUCCACCACAUGGCAAGCUACGUAAACUCCUCCAGAAGGAAACAACAAUUAUUAACAUUAAUUAAACAAUAUACAAACUGCUGAUCUCGAAAUUACGAGCAUCAUAUCUUCUGGUCAACAAAAUAACUCCGGUGACCGGUCAGGUAACAGUAAGCGUUGGCCAACCAAUAACUCUUCCGGAGUUUCUACUGGCUGCUUAAAUAAAAUCAAACCUUGCUGUGUCUCUAAUGAAUAAUGUAAUAUAACUCAGCAUAACACGCAACGGAAAAUCACAGGUCUAAACCCAGCAAUUAAGAAAUUACGAAAACUGUUACCAACGCCAGAGUAAUGCGGGACCCUAAAGCAAAACCCAAAGGUCUGCUAGGGGGAUGCCUGAAUAUUCGCAGUAUUAUUCCAAAAAGUGAUCAAAUUUAACAUCUUCUUGUUGAUUCUAACUUUGACUUUCUGUGCUUGUCUGAGACGUGGCUCCAUAAAAACUCCCGUUCUGCUGCUCUACAUAUUCCUGGCUAUGCCUUCAGGAAAGAGAGCUGAGGGUAGAGGUGGGGGGUUUCUGUUUUAUAUUAAAGAUCACAAAGCGUGUAAACAGAUUCAAAAUGUUGAGAAUGACCUAGAAUGUAUCUGCCUAGAUGUCACACUUUCACCACAAAUGUCUUUAAGUCUCAUUGGAGUCUACAGACCACCCUCUGCAAAAUCUGCUUAUCUUGAGAAAUUAUAUGUUAGGCUUAGGGAAUGCAGCUCAGAGAAGGAAGUAAUUAUGAUGGGUGAUUUUAAUAUUCUCAUCUAGAACUGUACGCAGGAUAAGCGGUUGACGAUGGAUGGAUCUAGAACCGAAAUUGAUCUGAUAUUUAGUAACUAACCUGAGAGAGUAACCAAAUCCUUCAACAUGGUCACAGGUCUGUCUGAUCACAACUUAAUCCUUAUAGCCAGAAAACUUAAAAAAUUGGUCCAAAUUUUCCACUUAUACAAAGCCCUGCCAAUUUAGAAUACCUACGAGUGAUGUAUGUGAAUAUGAAAAUGCUAUUAAGAACAUUAAUUGGAAUGAAAUACUAAUUGGUACAAAUGUGGAUGCUGACACACGCAUGUUUUUAUCCACAAUUCAAAACAAAACAAUUUUUAAACUAAACUACUAAAUGUACUCUCCCCUGGAUUAAUGGUGACAUAAGGAGACUAAUGAAGGCUAUACGGACAUUUCUUAAGACUAUGUUACUGACUGACAGACAAAUCUUCACUUCUUUAAGGAACAGGGUAAUAAAGGACAUCCGAGUAGCUAAAGCAAACUUCUUCGUUAGUCUGAUAGGUGAAGCUAAGGGAAAUCACAAACAAAUCUGGGACUCCCUAAAAAAGCUAACUGGGAAAUGGCAUAAUAAUACAACAAAGCAGCUGGUGAUUAAAGACAAAGGCUCCCUGGUUAAAGUGGCAACAGAAACGGCUACUCUGCUCAACUCCUAUUUUGUGAAUUCUGUAAAGAUGACAGUACACAUAAAUCAAACUGAACCUCUCCAUCCUUCACCAAUAGAUAUCUCUCAACCUGUCCUAUCCUUGAUGGACGUCUCUGAAUCGAAAGUUAACACAAUCCUGAACUCUAUUAAAAAUUCGAAAUCAAAAGAUAUAUUUGGAUUAGAUACUCUCUUCUUUAAGCGGCACGCAGGUUCAUUUAAUGAAUCAAUAACAAAGAUAAUUAAUGCCUCUUUUAAAGAAGAGAAGUUUCCAAAGAACUUGAAGUCAACAAUUGUCGUACAAGUUCAUUAAUCAGGACACCCGACUGAUGUGAGCAAUUAUAGACCUAUUAACAUUUUACCUGUCAUCUCAAAAAUUGCAGAGAAAUGUGUUGCUUAACAGCUGACCACACAUCUCAAGUAGCCCUUAUACACUGCAUCCAAUGCAAAUCGGUUUUCGAGUUAACCAUUCCACUGAGACAGCAAACUGUCUCUUACUUUUAGAAAACAUCAAGCUACAAAAGGAAUAAAGGAGGUGUUGUCAGGGUCAUAUUUUUAGACUUCAGUCAACAGUCAACCAUAAAAUACUUAUCUGUAAACUAGCAAAUUUAAAUUUCUCUUCUAAUGUGAUGAAUUGGAUGAAGUCCUAUCUUGAAGCCAGAGUUCAGUGUGUAAGGGUGGGUAGUGAAACAUCAUCCUUCCUGAGUAAUGAAAUGGGUGUGCCUCAGGGAUCCAUCCUGUGACCUCUCCUGUUCGGCUUAUAUAUAAAUAAUCUACCAUCGGUCUGCACAGGGUCUGAAGUUCAGAUGUAUGCAGACGAUACUGUAAUUUAUGUCUAUGCAUGGACCAAAGAACAAGCAGCUUCUAAACUCAGUGCAGCAAUGAUUAAUGUAAAGAAAUGGCUUAAUGAUUCACACCUGUUUCUUAAUUUUAAGAAGACUGUUUGCAUGUUUUUCACAAAACUGACUGUGAUCCCAAAGUAUGUGUGUCUGGAGAGAUCCUCCAAGUAGUCUGUUAUGUUAAAUACCUCGUAUUAUCCUUAACUCCACCUAAUCCUUCAAAAAACAAGUGAAGAAAGUAAUGCAAAUAACUAAAUACAACCUGGCCAAUUUUAGGUACAUAAGAAACCGCCUAACAACUACAGCAGCAAAAUUAUAUAUGAAUGCAAUGAUCAUCCCCCACUUAACAUAUUGUAUGACAAGUCGGACUCAAGCAAGAUGUACAACACUGAAGCCCAUUCUUUCUGUGUACAAGCAGAAUCACAAAGUGUUAGAUAGAAAACCCAAUACUUACCACCAUUGUAAUAUUUUGGGCAUAUAUGAAAUCCUUACUUGAUUUAAUUGAAUGAAAUACAGUAACAUCUGUCUGGUGUUUAAGAUUCUAAAUAGAAAAGCUCCCCACCACUUGGUACUUUUAUUUAGAUGAAAAAUUACACCAACAGAACUACAAGAUCAGCUCUAAGAGGGGACUGUGUAAUCCCUUUCAGGACUAGCUCCUUCAGCAAGAGCUUCUCAAUUGUGGAACACCCUACCAACUGAAAUAAGAAUCUGUAACACCUACCAUACCUUCACACAAAGCCUUGUGGCCUGGCUUUUGAAAAGUCAAACGUGAACAUUUCUAAACAAAAUAGUACAUUGCACAUUUUAUUUUUAUUGUCGUUACUAUUUAACCUGCUGCUAACAUGUCUCAUGUCCUCUGCACAUUGCCAGGUGGCCAGCUUUGCACAGCUUGCCAACGACCCGCACCUUCACCUCGUCAGCCACCUCCUCUGACUGCCACACCUGCCAGCGAUUAGCCUCAUCUCCAACUGUUCUUCUACCCCGGUUCUCCAGUCAAUCCCUGCUUGAUCGUCGUUGCUCCUAACCUGGUUCACUCACCCUCGUCCUCUGUCAAGUCGGCUGGGCUCGCUCACCUGCCCACUUCCUUCAGGCUUCCCCAACGGUGUCCUCCCAGUCCUCCUGUGCCUCUUCUCUUCCUCAACCCCCAGUGUUCCUUGGUUCUCUGGUCUCAGCCUCCUUGGUUUCACAUGCCUGCGUCUCCCCGGCAUCACUUCUCCCUCGACUCCAGUCCCUCAACCCCUUUUUUUCCCCAAUAAAACCUGCCAAUCUGA